Molecule: transfer RNA, 72 nt
Filed under: Habromys ixtlani (Ixtlan deermouse)
Lineage: Eukaryota; Metazoa; Chordata; Mammalia; Rodentia; Cricetidae
Description: tRNA-Val
Source: RNAcentral
CACAGCGUAGCUUAAUUACCACAAAGCACCUGGCCUACACCCAGAAGAUUCCAGAAAUAAUGGACGCUUUGA